AGAGUUUGAUCCUGGCUCAGGACGAACGCUGGCGGCACGCUUAACACAUGCAAGUCGAACGAGAGAAGAGGAGCUUGCUUUUCUGAUCUAGUGGCGGACGGGUGAGUAACACGUGAGCAAUCUGCCUUUCUGAGGGGGAUACCGAUUGGAAACGAUCGUUAAUACCGCAUAACAUAAUUGAACCGCAUGAUUUGAUUAUCAAAGAUUUAUCGCUGAAAGAUGAGCUCGCGUCUGAUUAGCUAGUUGGUAAGGUAACGGCUUACCAAGGCGACGAUCAGUAGCCGGACUGAGAGGUUGAUCGGCCACAUUGGGACUGAGACACGGCCCAGACUCCUACGGGAGGCAGCAGUGGGGAAUAUUGCACAAUGGAGGAAACUCUGAUGCAGCGAUGCCGCGUGAGGGAAGAAGGUUUUAGGAUUGUAAACCUCUGUCUUCGGGGACGAAAAAAGACGGUACCUGAGGAGGAAGCUCCGGCUAACUACGUGCCAGCAGCCGCGGUAAUACGUAGGGAGCGAGCGUUGUCCGGAAUUACUGGGUGUAAAGGGAGCGUAGGCGGGAUCGCAAGUCAGAUGUGAAAACUAUGGGCUUAACCCAUAAACUGCAUUUGAAACUGUGGUUCUUGAGUGAAGUAGAGGUAAGCGGAAUUCCUAGUGUAGCGGUGAAAUGCGUAGAUAUUAGGAGGAACAUCAGUGGCGAAGGCGGCUUACUGGGCUUUAACUGACGCUGAGGCUCGAAAGCGUGGGGAGCAAACAGGAUUAGAUACCCUGGUAGUCCACGCCGUAAACGAUGAUUACUAGGUGUGGGGGGACUGACCCCUUCCGUGCCGCAGCAAACGCAAUAAGUAAUCCACCUGGGGAGUACGACCGCAAGGUUGAAACUCAAAGGAAUUGACGGGGGCCCGCACAAGCAGUGGAGUAUGUGGAUUAAUUCGAAGCAACGCGAAGAACUUUACCAGGUCUUGACAUCGUAUGCAUAGCUCAGAGAUGAGUGAAAUCUCUUCGGAGACAUAUAGACAGGUGGUGCAUGGUUGUCGUCAGCUCGUGUCGUGAGAUGUUGGGUUAAGUCCCGCAACGAGCGCAACCCUUACUGUUAGUUGCUACGCAAGAGCACUCUAGCAGGACUGCCGUUGACAAAACGGAGGAAGGUGGGGAUGACGUCAAAUCAUCAUGCCCCUUAUGACCUGGGCCUCACACGUACUACAAUGGCUGUCAACAGAGGGAAGCAAAGCCGCGAGGUGGAGCGAACCCCUAAAAGCAGUCUUAGUUCGGAUUGUAGGCUGCAACCCGCCUACAUGAAGUCGGAAUUGCUAGUAAUCGCAGAUCAGCAUGCUGCGGUGAAUACGUUCCCGGGCCUUGUACACACCGCCCGUCACGCCAUGGGAGUCGGUAACACCCGAAGCCUGUAGUCUAACCGCAAGGAGGACGCAGUCGAAGGUGGGAUUGAUGACUGGGGUGAAGUCGUAACAAGGUA
RNAcentral lists this ribosomal RNA (1470 nucleotides) under metagenome. Its description in RNAcentral is "bacterial SSU rRNA". It matches the Rfam family "Bacterial small subunit ribosomal RNA". The record is from RNAcentral.